Molecule: ribosomal RNA, 427 nt
Filed under: uncultured bacterium
Lineage: Bacteria
Description: bacterial SSU rRNA
Rfam family: Bacterial small subunit ribosomal RNA
Source: RNAcentral
UAGGGAAUAUUGGACAAUGGGGGCAACCCUGAUCCAGCCAUGCCGCGUGAGUGAAGAAGGCCCUCGGGUUGUAAAGCUCUUUUGUCCGGAAAGAAAAGCAUUCGGUGAAUACCCGGAUGUUCUGACGGUACCGGAAGAAUAAGCACCGGCUAACUUCGUGCCAGCAGCCGCGGUAAUACGAAGGGUGCAAGCGUUACUCGGAAUUACUGGGCGUAAAGCGUGCGUAGGUGGUUGUUUAAGUCUGAUGUGAAAGCCCUGGGCUCAACCUGGGAAUGGCAUUGGAAACUGGGCAGCUAGAGUGCGGUAGAGGGUAGUGGAAUUCCCUGUGUAGCAGUGAAAUGCGUAGAGAUCGGGAGGAACAUCUGUGGCGAAGGCGACUGCCUGGACCAGCACUGACACUGAGGCACGAAAGCGUGGGGAGCAAACA